UUUCUAGGUGAAUGAAUUUGGCGUCAACAAUGUGCAAGAUUUAAUAUCAUAUGGAUACUUAAUAUAGUUAUUGUUAUAGAAGAGACCAAACUCAAAUAUAUUAGAGGCUCGUGUGUCAAAUAAAAAUAACUGGAGCCAUUCGUAAGCACUGCAGGUCGAAUGCAUUCUUCGAAGACUUUUAUGAUAUACUGAAACUACUGAUUUCCAUAUUUAAUGAACAAGGAUUUGAACUAUAGAUCAGCGGCUUGCCUAAUGUAGAUAUCGAGGAUCUUAAAGCAAAUAUUGAGCAGCAAAUACAUUGCUACGUCUUUACAGAUUCAAUGGUUCUGGCGUGCAUUACGAGGUUUUGAUCAAGCGGAUCAUGCGAAGUUCUUACAAUUCGUUCCUGGUACGUCCAAAGUGCCGUUACAAGGUUUUGCCGCGUUGGAAGGCAUGAACGGUGUACAAAAGUCCCAAAUUCACAGAGAAGAUAGGUCAACAGAUAGACUUCCAUCUGCACAUACUUGUUUCAGUCAACUGGAUCUGCCAGUGUACGGGGCGUAUAAUGAACUCCAUACAAAUCUACUCAAGGCGAUUCAUGAAUGCAACGAAGGAUUUGGAUUUGCAUAAGCUUGUUGGAGCGCUAUUGUGUAGCAAUUUUUCAUACAUGUGUUGUCCCGCCUGUUCGGAGUAAACGUUACAAGAAUUCAAUCGAUGACAUUCUAAUGACACGCUUGGUCUUUAUUCAAGAUCUAAUGAAAAAUUUGUUUAACUCGAUAUAUACAUGUAAGAUGCACGGAUAUGUAUAAAUAUAAAUAAUUAGUUAGUAUUUAUAAUUAUAACUAAUUUUUAAUUAUAAUAAUGAUCAUUAAAUAUUUUAAUAUUAAUCAUUCAAAAUGUGAUGUUAAACAAGUGUAAUUUCUUUUUCGUGAAAUCUAACGAAAUAGAGUUUACAAUUGAACAGACGUUGCUUCAUGAACACAUCAAAUGGAUCAAUUUAUUAGUGAAACACCGAACGAGCACCGUUAUAUUAUAGUUACCGAACUCAUUGUUAGGGAAUUAUUUGUUAAGGAUCGCAGAAUAAAGUAGGUAAAUGUUGUAUUUCUUAUAAAAAAAUGAGCAGUUAUUCUUUUAUUAUUUUACAGAGUCCUUAAUUGCCAAUUUCCGAGUUCCCUGAAUAGACAAAUAUCAAUAAUGUUGCGUAUAAUUUGACGAUGUUUAGUCUCCCUUUAAAGUUAGCUUAACUUUAUGUAUAACCAAUUAUUGUACGAUUAAUUACCUGAGAGUUUAUGUAUAGCAUGAAAACAUAUAUUUCAAAUUUACAUAGUCGUAUAAAUGUAAUAAUCCAUAUUAGCAAUUAGAGCACUGUGAUUUGUGACGUUCACAAGAUAGUUUUACAUAUAACGUUGCAUGUAACAUUUUUUGUAAGUAC
This is a long non-coding RNA of Solenopsis invicta (red fire ant), 1411 nucleotides long. RefSeq lists it as uncharacterized. The record is from RefSeq and is a predicted model, not a curated record. Lineage: Eukaryota; Metazoa; Arthropoda; Insecta; Hymenoptera; Formicidae. The transcript is spliced from 4 exons.